This 539-nucleotide ribosomal RNA is filed under the name uncultured bacterium. RNAcentral describes it as "partial 16S ribosomal RNA". It matches the Rfam family "Bacterial small subunit ribosomal RNA", at positions 355 to 913 of the family's 1533-position model. The record is from RNAcentral.
UGGGGAAUAUUGGACAAUGGGCGCAAGCCUGAUCCAGCAAUGCCGCGUGAGUGAUGAAGGCCUUCGGGUUGUAAAGCUCUUUCGCACGCGACGAUGAUGACGGUAGCGUGAGAAGAAGCCCCGGCUAACUUCGUGCCAGCAGCCGCGGUAAUACGAAGGGGGCUAGCGUUGUUCGGAAUUACUGGGCGUAAAGGGCGCGUAGGCGGCCUGUUUAGUCAGGAGUGAAAUCCCCGGGCUCAACCUGGGAAUUGCUUUUGAUACUGGCAGGCUUGAGUUCCGGAGAGGAUGGUGGAAUUCCCAGUGUAGAGGUGAAAUUCGUAGAUAUUGGGAAGAACACCGGUGGCGAAGGCGGCCAUCUGGACGGACACUGACGCUGAGGCGCGAAAGCGUGGGGAGCAAACAGAUUAGAUACCCUGGUAGUCCACGCCGUAAACGAUGAAUGCUAGACGCUGGGGGGCUUGCCUUUCGGUGUCGCCGCUAACGCAUUAAGCAUUCCGCCUGGGGAGUACGGCCGCAAGGUUAAAACUCAAAUGAAUUAG